Molecule: long non-coding RNA, 7271 nt
Organism: Parus major (Great Tit)
Lineage: Eukaryota; Metazoa; Chordata; Aves; Passeriformes; Paridae
Exons: 6
Source: RefSeq, a predicted model, not a curated record
GGCGCGGCCGCUCCGAGCGGGGCCGGCCGUGCCGGGCGGGGCGGGCUGUCCCUCGGCCCGCAGGGACACCGUGCGGCCGCAGGGCAGCCUUCUCGUCGCAGAAUCACUGCAUGAGUUGGAAAGGGCAAGGGGGCACACAUGGGUCGUCGAGCCCAGCUUUUGGCCCUACACUGUAGCACCCCCGAGAGUCACGUAUGUGUCUGAGAGCGUGAUCGAAACUCAUCUGGAGUUCUGUCAGGCUCCGUCGGCACUAGAGAGGGCACCAGGGUUUUGUCAGAGCGAGAAGCGGAACCGCUGCCGAGGAGGCGAGUGCUGCUCUUUGCCCCGCUGCUUGCUCGGCAGCCGGUGUGGGCAGCAAGGGCUGCUUGUCUCCCGCCAGCCUCCGUCUGUAGGAGCCCGCUGAGGAGAAAGCUGGACCGCGCUGAGGCGAAGGACAUCGGGUGUGAGGGACAGAUCUGGCCUUGUUCAGCCAUGUUUGCAGUGUGGGAAACUCACGCAAACAUGCUGUGGUGACGCUGGAAACUUCUUCCAAGCAGAGAAAGGAAAGAAACUCCAAAAUAAAAAUAUUCUGAUGCCUCCCAAACAUAAUUACCUAAUAUGCCACUGAUACCCAGACCACUCAAAAGAUAAGGAGAGUAGUGUACUGCAUUAGUUGUGCUCACUGCAUAACAUGUUUUAGGACGUGAAAUUCAUACUAUUUGUCAUUCUCUGAAACCUAUUUCCUGAAGUUAUAUGAGUGAUUACCUCCAUCCUGGAGGAGAAUGAAUGGAAGAAAAAGCACCUGUAAAUACAGGUUUGUGUAUGACUCCUGCUUGCAAAAGGACGCUUCUAAUUCAUCCCCUUUGGGAAAAUAUAGCUUAGGAAAAGAAAUCAUCUCUUGGCUUUGAGGGCCCCAACAGCAAACACAAGAUUGUCCCCUUCCAGACAUCCAUUUUAUACCUGUUCCUCUGACAGACAGUAAAAAGUACCUAAAAGUACCAUUUGUAAUGCAUUUCUGCAAAGAUGGCUUUUGGACCAUGUACAUAAGAAUGCAAAAGGUACAAAAGGUACUUCUCCAGACACUAAACUGUACCCUCAUUGCUGCUUCUGAUGGAAGAUGCACUUCUUUGUCGGUUCCUUCUCCAACAGCCCACUGUGUUCUUGAUCUUGAUCUUGUGCAUCACACAACAAUCCCAUAGGAAAAAAAAUUUAAAAACCCAAAUAAACAUGGAAAAAGCCCUACAAGAACAGGCAUUAGUUUAAUUGUUGAGCAAGUAAAAAGCACUCAGAGACUGCAGUGACUAAUGCAGAACAGUGACUUCUAUAAACCAGAGGGAUGGAAUCGAGUAAUGUUCCCUGUGUGUCCAAAACUGCCCUGUUUCCUUUCCCAGAAGUUUCCAGGAGCUGGAUAAUUCAUUUUCCAACAGCUCUCUGGGAUCCCCUCCAAAUGAUACAAGGAGAAGACAGACAAACCUGCUUUGUAGCCUACAGUGAUUAGGAAUAGUGUUUUGCCUGACAGAUUGUUUGCUUGUAUGAGGGAUGGGUGUGCCAGAUGUCCAGUGGUGGCAUUAAAUCUUGAUUAAAAAUUAUUGCAUUACACAGAAUACAAUAUUGCUGUAUUUCUUACCAAUAUUGGUAGCAUAUGCACAAGUAAACCACAUGUAGUGCAUGAGAUUUUCAUCUGCACCUUUCAAAUUUAAUUGUUCCAGUUUUGUGGAUUUCAAUAGUUUCUGAUAGGUUUUCUGCAAAUAAAGAUUAAAUUAUUUGCUUAUUUACUGUUUAAUAAAGCUAAUUGCUUCAUGUGAAUAGUAAGCACUGAUCUCCAUACUGCGAGUGGCUCUAUUAAAUGAUGCAAUCCUUUGAACACUGUCAUCCAUGUGGCUCAGCGCAGGUUGAUGUGGAUCUGAUAUGGAAAUGGAGCAAAUUCAUUUCUUGCCAAGUUAGUUGAGUCACAAUGGAGCAGCAGCAUGGGAUUUCCUUUUAAGGAACAUGUGCCUUUCUCUUAUUAGAGGAUAAAACCUAGCAUGCAGCCAACGGUUUUGUAGCUGGAAAAAGCAGGCAGGCAAGUAAGCACAAGCAAUUGGUUUAACUGUAGAACUUCAUAAUAAAUUUUUGAAAUGCAGUCCACUGAUGGGAAAUGGCUUGGUAUAAAUGAUAUCACAGGGAACCACAGAUUUACUGUCACUCUGUGACUUUUUUGCUUACUAAACAUUUAGGUAUACUAGUACCCCACAGUGAGGAAAAGGGUCAGUAAGUCUGAAUUUCUACUCAAAAUCUGCUAACAGAAUGAAAUAGAAUAAAAUUAAUAACAUUGCAACCUGAGGCUGAAUGGCAACCUUCAAGCAUAGACACAGACGACUCAGAUUUGCAGGAUUUGCUAGUGGCUCUGCUGUCAAAAGUCCUAGUGAUUGCAGUACAGAUGCUUCAGGAGUACCUCACUACACCAGGUCUCCAUCAAGUAACAGUUUGUUUCCUAAUCAACUUUUACUUGCAUUCUGUUUUGCUUUGUUUUCCCUUUCAUCUUCAAAGCAGGAUAUCUUCUGUGCUUAACUGUUAUCUAAAUACAAUAACUUACAAAUUUGUCUUGGGUUUGCAUGGCUAGGUUUUGGUAGUGGGGGAGCUACUGUCUUCUGUCAGAACGUGCUGGAAGCUUCCUGCAUGUCUGGUAGAGGCAGUUCAGACGUCUUCGAGACAGACAUGCUGCUGGUCAGGGCUGAGCCAAUCAGAAAUGGCUGUAACUCCUUUUGAUAACAUAUUUAAGACAGAGUUAUUGGGCAGAUGUAAUUGCAGCCAGAGAAGAGCAGAGUGAGAAUAUGUAAGAGGAACAGCUCAGCAAACAGCAAGGUAAUUGAAGAAGGGGAGGGACGUGGUGCUCGAGGAGCUCGUGGAGCUGGGAUUCUCCUGAAGCCCAUGGUGCAGGCCAUGCUGAGGCAGCUGUGCUCAUGCAGCCUGUAGUGGACCACAUGGAUGCAGAGAUCCCCCUGCAGCAAGUGAAGGAGACCCACACCAGAGCUGAUGGAUGCCCAAAAGAGGCUGUGACCCAGUGGGAGGCCUGUGCUGGAGCAGGUCCUGAAAGGGACCUACAGACUCAGAGAAAGUGCACACUGGGGCAGGUUUCCUGGUAGGACCUGUGACCCUCAUGUGAGAUCUCAUGCUGGAGCAGGCUGUGCCUGAUGGAUGGCACCCGUGGAAGAGUGACACACAUUGUAGCAGUUUAAUGGAGAACUAUUAUUUUCUGUGAGAUGAGCUCACACUGGAGAAAUUAGUAGGGAACUGUCUCCUGUGGGAGGCACUCCACCCAAGAAAAGGGAAAGACUUCUCUCUCUGAGCACGGGGAGAAAAAGCAUGAUGAACUGACCAUAACCUCCAUUCCCAUUCUACCUUCACCACUGCAGGAGGAAGUAGAGCUAGGAAGGAGGAGAAAUGGAAGAAAGUGUUUUUAAAAUUUGUUUUACUUCUCAUUAUCCUGAAGAUUUUCUUGGUAAUAAAUUCAACUAAUGACCAAAUUCAGUCUGUUUUUCCUGAGAUGAUAAUUGGUUUGUAACCUCUCACUGACUUUAUCUCAAAUUGUGACGCUUUCACUUUCUUUUCUCUCCCAUGUCCAGUUGUGAAGAAGAGCAUUACAGCAGCUUUGGUGGAUACCUGGUAUCCAGCCAGGAUCAACCCUCCACUGAAUUCAAAAGGAUACAAUUACUAAGCUACUUGGAUGCAAUACAGAAAUCAAUGUAAUGAGACUGAACCAAGUGUAUCUUGAUCCCGCAGAUUUUCCUGUCUACUUUACUUACAUCAAUCACCAGAGGCCUUAAUGAGGGUUCUUAAGUUUAGCAUGAAGAAGAGAAGGCUUCAGGGAGAAGUCUUCAGGGGGACUUUAUAGAAGCCUUCCAGUUUUAGCAAUCUUCUUGUAAAGGACUCUUCUGGGAAGACCGGAGAGAGACUUUUUACAUGGGCAUGUAGAGACAGGAUGAAAUGGCUGUAAACUUAAGAAGGACCAGAGAAGCCGCAAGAGUGCCCUGCAGGCCUGGCACUGCCUUCAACACAGCUAGACCUAUGGAGGAAACCCAGUCCUCUGAGAUUAGUCACAGGUGUCCAACCCUCCUGGUUUUGAAUGUCUUCUAUUCUCCUUCCCCUGCUGCUACGGAACUGAGUCAGCCAUAGACGGAAGGCCUUGAGCUACCGAAAAACCCAGACAGAUAUUUUUGAUUACCAGAAAUUGUGACAACAGGAGACAGUUUGUGCUUAAGAGAUGCUGCAGCAGGCAACAGAAAUAAAUAUUCUACUGAUCUGUGGAGUGGUUACCAUUCAGUAAGUGGCAGAGGAAGCAAAUUGAAAACAUUGCAAUGGGGACAGCUUUUACUUGGAACUGCAACUGUUCUGCUUACCCUCAAAACUGAAACUAACAAGACUCACAUAGAGCUGUUUGAGUUUAAUAUUUGGCUAGCAGCUGCAGUUACACCAGAAAAAGUGGAUUGUCAUGAGAUACAACUACUGAACUACUAUGCAUAGCAUCUGUGUUUCUUGAUUUGUUGUAUGAGCUAGUGCUGCAAAAAUAUGCUGGCAAGCAUAUUGCUUUUUUUUUUUUUUUAAUUCCCUAGGAAAUGCUAGUGGGCUAAAGAACAAUAUUUAAAAAAAGCUUUAAACAUUUUAAAUAUAAAAAGAUAAUUGAAACACAGGCACAGUUACAUUCAUUUUUUCAAUUGUGUGCUUCUAUAUCUUUGUGACUUUUAUUCCCCAUGUUGCUUCAUUGAAAAGCAAGAAGCUAAAAAAUGGUAUCUAGUCCUCAAAGCUCUGUCUUUUAAGCUAACCUUGUCUUUUGCUAGAGAUAGUCUUUGCAGUAGCAAUGGUAGACACCUCACAUGAUGAAAUAUCAUAAGGGUUUUUGGUUUGGUAAAUGGGAAGUUAAUGACAGAAACCAACACAGUAUUGAUAAGCAAACACAACAUUAGGUUGGCUUCCUUAACAAAGAUCCUAAAAGAAUAAAGCCUUUCAAUUUCGUAAGACUGGAGCUUUAUAUCAAAAUUUUAUCUUGUGCAAUUCAGAGACUUAGGACUUUAUAAGAAUGUGUCCAUUUAGUAGCAUAAUAUUCCACUAGUUUUAAAGCAGCCCAUACAUGUUAGUGCCAGUCAGCAAGAAAGUUUUAUUUUGAGUGUUAGACUUAGUUUCCUUUCUUGUUCCACUUUAAAAUUCAAAUUAUUCAGCCAGAAGACCAUUAUUUUUCAAGACGGCAAGCCUUCAAGGAGACCUCUGAGAUGGAAAACAUGAGGACAAUGCUUUGUUUCCACAGCAGGAACUCGUAGAGCAGAUUUAGUUAGAAGAAAUCCAGUCUGUCUCUUCACUCUUCCAUUUCAGAAACCCUGGAUGAAAACCCCUGUAGUAGGGCAGAUCUGCCCCUGUAGAGGCAGACCAGUGACCAGUGGGAAAAAGAGAGGAAGCUGUCUGGGUGAGUGGCCAGGGGGACAGCCUGCAAAGGAUUCUGUGUACAUACAGGGAAGAUCUGAGAAGUGAAAUGAUGCAGCAACUCCAAGCCCCACUACAGUAUGGUAGGGACUGUUCUGCCACCUUGUACAACAGAGCAAAGACCGUAGAUCUAACAUGAGGAGUGAGAAGAGAUCAAUGGAGAAAGGGAUCUACUGCAAUGGAAAGCUUUCUCAAGUAAAACUGGCAGAAUUUAGUCUCUAGAUGUAGAUGAAAUAAACCAAACAAAUUCUGUAAAAAAAAUCAAAAGAAAGAACCUAAAUUUAAUCAAAACAAACAAACAAACAAACAAACAAACAAACAAACCCCCACCAUUUUCAAAGCAAAACCAGCAUUUUUAAAAGAGCAAAAAUAAGCCAGGGAGAUUCAGGCUUGUAGAGCCCAAAGGAGCUUAUAGCCAUCAUAAAGUGAGGCAAAUGUUUGCACAGACCUGAUGUUCUAAGAAUCUUGAUAUUUUCUAGUCCAGCUCCCUGUGGGAUACAAAUGAGUCACUUCAUUCUUCCCUGCCACUGGCACAACAGCAGUUCUCCAAAACACAGACUUUGGAACAGAGGAUAAAAAUGCAUGAAGCAAGAAUUACAUUACAUGUGAUGCAAACAAUGUACCUUUUUGUAUUUAUAUGCCUGACUUGGAAAUAACAAUUCAAAUAGUAUAUUAAUUAGUGGCAUUGUUAUUGUCUGGGGAAGGCAUAAGGCAGAAGCAAUCAGUGAGAGACUACACUGUAAUCUGGAAAGCUGUGAAAAGAGAAGUUUCAGACAAGUUCCUUCAUAGCAGCUUUUCUUUGAAAGUGAUUCACUGAAGAAAAUUCCAUGAACAUAAAUAUGAUGAAGUUUUCACUCCAUGUGUCGGUCAGGCAAGUGACAAUUUGGUAAUUUCUUGUAUUUUCCUUAAAAUGUCUCAAUAGCUAAUCAACAAUUUAUGACAAAAAUUGCUCUUUUCUGUGCAAACUUGUGAGACUGAGAAGGGAAAAGAAGGGUAAUAGGAUUCUGCAAUAUCUUUUUCCUUGGCUGUUAGUUAUCCUCUUUUUGCUUCUAACUGUAAAUUUCAAGUUUUAAAAAAAAUCUCCUAACGAUGCUUAUUUAACUCGGCUAACUGAAACAGAUGUUCAUUCUUUAUUUCAACUUUAACCUAAAAUUAAGAAAACAUCCAGCCUCUGGUGGUACAGCUUUAGACUAGCCCCCUUCACCUUCUUGUUGUGUAAGAAACAGUUAAGAAGCCUGUGCCUUGUCUAAUAGCCUGUUCUUUUAAGAUGCUCUACAUAGCAUGGAAAAAGCCAGAGCUUUCAAAACAGCUCUUCACUUUUAAUUCUUAUAUCAUUGCUUAGAAAAGUCUAGAGAAAGAUCUUGACACUGUUUCAAGGCAAAACUUGUUGCUGGCAUUAACAGUGAAGGAUGAAGAAAUAGUAUGUUCACUAACAACCUGAUAAACACAUUUCCAAAAGAAACAGAAAUAGCAUUUCCUAGUCUGUCUUAUUUAGCCCUGAUUAACUGUGGAUGUGUCCUUUGAAAAUCUAUUAUGUAGAUUACUUAUGUCCCAAAAAUCAAGUGAAAAUAGUGGAUAAUAAACUUGUGGCAUGGAUUAUUAAGUAGAUUUUUACAGUCAAUGCUCAGAAACAUUCUGCAGUAGAAAUUCUUUCCCAGUCACAUUCUUAAUGUUUAGAUGUGUCUCUAAAUACAAAUACUUUUAUGAAUCUCUCAGAAAGCCUUACAUUUUCAGGUACUUUCUGAAUGUGUGUACACAAACAAACCAGUAUGGCUGGGUUUUUCUUCUCUUUUUUUCUCACUUCCAUGAUGUUAAAAAAUAAAAAGUAAAUAAACUCA